CUAAGAAUCUUCCGCAAUGGACGAAAGUCUGACGGAGCGACGCCGCGUGAAUGAAGAAGGCCGUGAGGUUGUAAAAUUCUUUUCAGGAGGAGGAAUAAGUCUGGCAGGGAAUGGCCGGAUGAUGACGUGAAUCCUGGAAUAAGCCCCGGCUAACUACGUGCCAGCAGCCGCGGUAACACGUAGGGGGCGAGCGUUGUUCGGAAUUAUUGGGCGUAAAGGGCGCGCAGGCGGCUUUGUAAGUCUGGUGUAAAAUGGUAGUGCUUAACACUAUCAGGCGCUGGAAACUACAAAGCUUGAGUUUAUGAGGGGAUGUUGGAAUUCCAGGUGUAGGGGUGAAAUCUGUAGAUAUCUGGAAGAACACCGGUGGCGAAGGCGAACAUCUGGCAAUAAACUGACGCUGAGGCGCGAAGGUGCGGGGAGCAAACA
RNAcentral lists this ribosomal RNA (426 nucleotides) under uncultured Spirochaetaceae bacterium. RNAcentral describes it as "bacterial SSU rRNA". It matches the Rfam family "Bacterial small subunit ribosomal RNA", at positions 355 to 774 of the family's 1533-position model. The record is from RNAcentral. Lineage: Bacteria; Pseudomonadati; Spirochaetota; Spirochaetia; Spirochaetales; Spirochaetaceae.